UAUCUUCGAUACUUGAAGGAGAGGUUAUCCGUGUUGUCUUCUCUUUAUUUAUGAUGAAACAUACACGGGAAACCUCUUUUUUAGUAUCAAAUCCCACC
RNAcentral lists this microRNA precursor (98 nucleotides) under Ovis aries (sheep). Lineage: Eukaryota; Metazoa; Chordata; Mammalia; Artiodactyla; Bovidae. The record is from RNAcentral.